Molecule: small RNA, 1141 nt
Filed under: Cryptococcus neoformans H99
Lineage: Eukaryota; Fungi; Basidiomycota; Tremellomycetes; Tremellales; Cryptococcaceae
Description: Cryptococcus neoformans var. grubii H99 hypothetical RNA
Source: RNAcentral
CGAAUUUUAUCGACUUUUUUCUACCAUCCCUUCUAAAUUUGUCGUCAUUGGAGUAUCGAUCAUCGCACCACUGCCGCAUUUUGCAUGCAGUCCAUACCCUUCAACCCUCUGCAGAUCCUUUGCAUUGAUGAUCAGGGCUCUGAGACCUACUAGUCUGGGAUUUUGCGUUUGGCUGCUGGAGAAUGCUGCGUGCCGCUUUAUCCCUUUUAGGGCAUUACAUCAUUCUUUCAGCUCUGAAGCACGCUAUCUGUCGUUUCUUUCUGUUGGUGAGUUGUGGUUUGCUUUAUCUUCUUAUCUCUCGCACUUCUUUUUCCGAUCUCUACUACGGCUCCAUCUGCUCGUAUUCGCUUCUCCCACGCGAACCGCGAUUCCUGAAUGGGCCAAUAGCAAACAAUCUCUUCUUCCCCACUCUAUCUCUUCUGUCUUAUAACCACGGGCAGUUGAGAAGAGAAGACUAGAUGACACACGUUCCUUCUCCCUUCGUUUCAUCGCAAUCUUGAUUUUAUUUUCAUCAUCAGCACUAUGACCGUGCCCUUAAGCACUCGGUAUGGUCUCACAAACCUUUCUUCUAACACAUCAUUAAACAUGCACCUUAUGCCCAUCUCCAAUUAUCUGAACUUGUUUCUUGUCUGCGUUCUCUCUUAGUGUUUGGACCAGCACCGUGCUCAAGGUAUCCUGGCAAAAAUAUUAGUUCAUCCUUCCCUUGGCCUGACUCAAGACUUCUUCCUUUUUAUUCACAGGAAGGUGUCAACUGAACUGGCCUAGAGCAAAAUUCUGCCUAUACCCCACUUAUAUUCGUCCAUCUCGACAAGCAAGGUUCCAAUGUAGUACUUGGCUGGCCACGGAAUGGGUUCGUUGAGUGGCGCUGGCUUACAUAUAACCAAGUCUACUCCCUUCUCUUGCCUUGAAUAAUUUCAUGUCUUAAUGGAAGAAACAAGCGGAAAGGAAUCACGCAUGUGAUAUUGGAUGGGAUUGCUGUAGCGUAGAUGGGAUGAAAUGAGAUAUCCAGUGAUGUGCGAAAACACCUUCAUUCCUUUAGUUAGCUUGGAUCAUGUCGAACUAAGGGCGGUGUAAGGCAACCGUAUUUGAGUUGGCGAGUUUAACUUAACAAGCCAAAUGCAAGCUAAGGUCUGGGGUGGAG